CCUACGGGAGGCAGCAGUGAGGAAUAUUGGUCAAUGGGCGCGAGCCUGAACCAGCCAAGUCGCGUGAGGGAUGACGGCCCUACGGGUUGUAAACCUCUUUUGCCGGGGAGCAACGGGCGCCACGUGUGGCGCCACUGAGAGUACCCGGAGAAAAAGCAUCGGCUAACUCCGUGCCAGCAGCGGCGGUAAGACGGAGGAUGCGAGGUUUAUCCGGAUUUAUUGGGUUAAAGGGGUGAGUAGGCGGAACGUUAAGUCAGUGGUAAAUUUGAGGGGCUCAACCCCUUCCCGCCAUUGAAACUGGCGCUCUUGAGUGUAAGAGAAGUAUGCGGAAUGCGUGGUGUAGCGGUGAAAUGCAUAGCUAUCACGCAGAACCCCGAUUGCGAAGGCAGCAUGCCGGCUUCCGACUGACGCUGAAGCACGAAAGCGUGGGGAUCGAACAGGAUUAGAUACCCUUGUAGUC
RNAcentral lists this ribosomal RNA (460 nucleotides) under uncultured bacterium. Its description in RNAcentral is "partial 16S ribosomal RNA". It matches the Rfam family "Bacterial small subunit ribosomal RNA", at positions 338 to 795 of the family's 1533-position model. The record is from RNAcentral.